RNAcentral lists this ribosomal RNA (773 nucleotides) under Pertusaria cineraria. RNAcentral's name for it is "SSU rRNA". It matches the Rfam family "Bacterial small subunit ribosomal RNA", at positions 407 to 1259 of the family's 1533-position model. Lineage: Eukaryota; Fungi; Ascomycota; Lecanoromycetes; Pertusariales; Pertusariaceae. The record is from RNAcentral.
GAGGAAUGUAUAUCGACUCUGUCGAAUAAAGUUCUAGUUAAGUUAUGAUAAUGACAUUUCUUAACUAUGUGUCUUGACCAAAUCACGUGCCAGCAGUCGCGGUAAUACGUGGAAGACUAGUGUUAUUCAUCUUUAACAGGUUUAAAGGGUACCUAGACGGUAAAUCAAGCCCCGAAAGGGUACUAAUUUACUAGAGUUUAAUAAGAGAGGGGGAGUACUGAUGAGUGGAGAGAUGAAAUUUUAUGAUACCAUUAGGAACAGACAAAGGCGAAAGCGACCUUUUACAUAAAAACUGACGUUGAGGGACGAAGGCUUUAGUCGUGAACAGGAUUAGAUACCCAAGUAAUUAAAGCAGACAAUGAUGAAUGUCAUAGAUUAGUAAGCACUUAAAGCAAUUACUAUUAAUCUAUAAAUGAAAGUGUAAGCAUUCCACCUCAAGAGUAAUGUGGCAACGCAGAAACUGAAAUCAUUAGACCGUUUCUGAAACCAGUAGUGAAGUAUGUUGUUUAAUUAGAUAAUCCGCAAAAGACCUCACCACAAUUUGUAUAUUAUUAUUUUUUAAUAAUACAAGCGUUGCACGGCUGUCUUCAGUUAAUGUCGUGAGAUUAGGUUAGUUCCAUUAAAUUAACGUAAACCCUUGCUUUAUUUAUAUUAUAAAGUAGAUCACCGCUAUAUUGGAUGUGAUAAUAGGGACUAAGACAAGUCAUCAUGGCCUGAAUAUUGUGGGCGAUAGACGUGCCACAUAAUCGGAGACAAAGGGAUGCAAAAUUGUG